Molecule: ribosomal RNA, 253 nt
Filed under: uncultured bacterium
Lineage: Bacteria
Description: partial 16S ribosomal RNA
Rfam family: Bacterial small subunit ribosomal RNA
Source: RNAcentral
UACGUAGGGACCAAGCGUUGUUCGGAUUUACUGGGCGUAAAGGGCGCGUAGGCGGCAUGACAAGUCACUUGUGAAAUCUCUGGGCUUAACCCAGAACGGCCAAGUGAUACUGUCGCGCUAGAGUGCAGAAAGGGCAAUCGGAAUUCUUGGUGUAGCGGUGAAAUGCGUAGAUGUCAAGAGGAACACCUGAGGCGAAGGCGGGUUGCUAGGCUGACACUGACGCUGAGGCGCGAAAGCCAGGGGAGCAAACGGG